This 1525-nucleotide long non-coding RNA is filed under the name Androctonus crassicauda. The record is from RNAcentral. Lineage: Eukaryota; Metazoa; Arthropoda; Arachnida; Scorpiones; Buthidae.
AUGUUUAUCCUAUCAUGUUGAGUUAUUUGUAUAGUAAAGUAAAAGGUAAAGUAAAAGAGAGCAUUGAAAACAUCCCUUCGAACAUUAUCUAAUAAAAAUCGAAGUAAAAAUUUCAGACAAAUAAAAAGUCUUUUACAGAAAUGCAAUUUCAAUUUUCAUGGAAAAUUAAAUCUUCUUGGAUUUCUAGAAAGACAUGUAGUCAUGAUUUGUGGUUGAAAACUUCAGAGUAUGAAUGGAUGAUGUAUGAACUUCUUCUCUUCAUUAUGCUUGCUGCAUGCAAGAGCGAGUUAAAUGAGCCAAAGCUGCAUUCAAUACACUUUACUUCUAUCAACACCGAAAAUUCACUUCUAUGAUAACUUAAAUUUACCUAAAUUUAAUUUAUUCCAAAAAGGCAUUUCCAAGGAAUUCGUUUACAUUAUCUUCCACAAUCUUUUGUAGGUAAAAAAAUUCUUACAAUAAAAAGCACGAACAACAAAACCCUUAGAAUUAAUUCAUUCUGAGGUACAUUAAACCUGGUUGACACUAAUUUUUACGUGAAAUAGAGUUAAACUAAUAUACUUAGGUCAUAACCAUCGCUAAAUCAACAUUAAAAUGUGCUAAAGUUCAAAAGUUAUGCUUAAUCAACAUUCUUUACAUGUUAUACCAUUAAAAACGGUAUUUGUACUUUGGUAUCCUGGAGCAAAUACAGUUCUAUAACUGUAAGAAUAGCGCAUUCGUUUCGGUCGUAGACGCUUCCCGCAGAGUUUUGACAAGUGCAAUUUACUUUUUUAAAGGAUCGAUAAAGACAGAGCGAUACCAAAGACUAAUAAUCGAUUAAAAUUCGAUCAGAUCGAUCACUGGUAUUAAUCUGUUUUAAUUAAAUAGAGACGAAUCGGGAUCGAUUAUCUGAAUAUUGAUCUCUGGUCGGGAUUACUGUUAGAGCUACAGAUAGACUAGAAAUGCAUUCAAACGUUUCCUUUUCAGUCGUCGUAACGACUUGUGUGCAGGAAAAAAUAUAUCAAAGACACCUACUGAGUAGGAGGGAGGGCGCCCCAGGCAGUGGGUCCAGUAUGUUAGCCAGAUUGAUGGAGCGUCCGUCUCAUACAGGGGCAAGACCCCCUCGGGAAGAAUCCAUUUCUGGUUUAAGCCUAAAGAGAUCUUUGCUGAAAACCGGAAGUCGGAAACUUCUCUCCAACUCUUAGAUUCUUCUAUGUCUUUUUAUUGCAGUUGUUUAUUGGCCGCACUUCUAUAAUUGAGUUGUUAUUGGUACUAGAACUGGUGCGUGAUCUGCUAACUGGCAUCAUACGUUGCUUUCCGGCCAUACAUUACGUACGAUACACUAAAAACACGACAUUUGAAUGAAGGGCAACAAACUCUAACUAGGUAUAUUUACAACAAACCUAUGUUCAUUACUGUACUGGAACCUAGAACUUAAUAAAAUUGAAUUUCAAUAUACCAGUAUCUAACAAACAAAAUAUUGAAUCAGAGUUCUGAACUUCUACUAAUCAUCAAGCAAAAAUAUGCUGCAUUAAAAUUUUCAAUAGAG